CAGAGUUCUUGCCCUUCAGGGUAGAUCUCCCACCCGUGUAUAGUUAUACCUUUGUUGCUUUGGCAGGCCCGCCCCGGCCACUGGCUCUAGCUAGUGAGUGCCUGCCAGAGGACCCCCAACUCUGAAUUUAGUGUCGUCUGAGUACUAUAUAAUAGUUA
RNAcentral lists this unclassified non-coding RNA (158 nucleotides) under uncultured Neofabraea. Its description in RNAcentral is "sequence contains ITS1". The record is from RNAcentral. Lineage: Eukaryota; Fungi; Ascomycota; Leotiomycetes; Helotiales; Dermateaceae.